AUUUAUUUUGAUAUUGCUAGAUAACUUUGCCUCCACAACAGAUUGAACAGCUGUAGAGUCAGAACCAGUAGCAUUGAACAUCCACUUUCCUUCAGUAAAAACAAAAUUCUUAUUUCAAAAAAUCCGUCCAUAGUAUCUGAGAAUCCUCUUCUCUUUUCGGAAACAAUGGACUUCUGUGUCAAUGAGUAGAUUCCAUCGUUGGAAAGGAAACAACUAAAACAAUUGCUUCUCAUCCGGCAUCCAACUUGCCUAAACUCAACAAGCUGAAGUGCAUCUCAAUUGCAUCUGUUAGUGGCCAAGUUCCAGAUUUGCCAUCAGUAAAGGAACAAUUUCAUUAUGUAUUACAUUUACAUAGUUUGAUUCAGCCUUUAUUUCAGAAAACCAAGCUAGCAAUUUUAUGUUAACCCGACCACCUUGAAUUUUGUGUAAUUAUGAAUCAAAUAUUCAAUAAAAGCGUAAUUAUGAAUCAAAUCUUAGCAACUAGCCAUACUGUUACUGUUCCGGUUAAUCAUGGAGAAAAAUUGAAGAAAUUCAAUGGCUUAAAUUUCAAGAG
RNAcentral lists this long non-coding RNA (553 nucleotides) under Olea europaea subsp. europaea. Lineage: Eukaryota; Viridiplantae; Streptophyta; Magnoliopsida; Lamiales; Oleaceae. The record is from RNAcentral.